This 591-nucleotide ribosomal RNA is filed under the name uncultured Burkholderia sp. RNAcentral describes it as "bacterial SSU rRNA". It matches the Rfam family "Bacterial small subunit ribosomal RNA", at positions 418 to 1003 of the family's 1533-position model. Lineage: Bacteria; Pseudomonadati; Pseudomonadota; Betaproteobacteria; Burkholderiales; Burkholderiaceae. The record is from RNAcentral.
UCGGGUUGUAAAGCACUUUUGUCCGGAAAGAAAACCUCAGCCCGAAUACGGCGGGGGGAUGACGGUACCGGAAGAAUAAGCACCGGCUAACUACGUGCCAGCAGCGCGGUAAUCGUAGGGUGCGAGCGUUAAUCGGAAUUACUGGGCGUAAAGCGUGCGCAGGCGGUUCGCUAAGACCGAUGUGAAAUCCCCGGGCUUAACCUGGGAACUGCAUUGGUGACUGGCGGGCUGGAGUAUGGCAGAGGGGGGUAGAAUUCCACGUGUAGCAGUGAAAUGCGUAGAGAUGUGGAGGAAUACCGAUGGCGAAGGCAGCCCCCUGGGCCAAUACUGACGCUCAUGCACGAAAGCGUGGGGAGCAAACAGGAUUAGAUACCCUGGUAGUCCACGCCCUAAACGAUGUCAACUGGUUGUCGGGUCUUCAUUGACUUGGUAACGUAGCUAACGCGUGAAGUUGACCGCCUGGGGAGUACGGUCGCAAGAUUAAAACUCAAAGGAAUUGACGGGGACCCGCACAAGCGGUGGAUGAAUGUGGAUUAAUUCGAUGCAACGCGAAAAACCUUACCUACCCUUGACAUGUACGGAACCUGGCCG